This 347-nucleotide transfer-messenger RNA is filed under the name Fusobacteriaceae. Its description in RNAcentral is "Psychrilyobacter sp002084825 Standard tmRNA". It matches the Rfam family "transfer-messenger RNA". From Rfam's summary of the family: Bacterial tmRNA, also known as 10Sa RNA or SsrA, is named for its dual tRNA and mRNA-like properties. RNAcentral also lists the same sequence under 2 other names. The record is from RNAcentral. Lineage: Bacteria; Fusobacteriati; Fusobacteriota; Fusobacteriia; Fusobacteriales.
GGGAGUGCACUGGUUUCGACAGGGGCAUUAGGUUAUAGGAAGCAAGUCAGGUUGAUCGCUGUGAGAGGUCAAACCCAUUUUUAAAUGGAAACGAAAAUUACGCAAUAGCUGCCUAAUAGUGCAGCGUAUUCUAUUUUCCUAAGGCCUGUGCAGGUCGGUAGAAUAUAAUUAACAUCAGGCUUACCAAUGGUUUCGUCAUUAAACCUGCGGGACAUCUUUAAUUGACUGGUAUAAGCUAGUCCUGUUUGUGAGACGAGUUUAUACGAGACUAAUUCACGAAAUAAACUUGUAGAAACCUAUGAUACUGGUGUUCUUGGACACGGGUUCAAUUCCCGUCACUUCCACCA